Molecule: long non-coding RNA, 119 nt
Organism: Poecilia latipinna (sailfin molly)
Lineage: Eukaryota; Metazoa; Chordata; Actinopteri; Cyprinodontiformes; Poeciliidae
Exons: 3
Source: RefSeq, a predicted model, not a curated record
ACCCUUUCAUGCAGAGGUCACUACAGUGGACGGCUGUCUAAAAGCCAUUUUCUUGUGCUUCUUGUGGAUUUUUAUGUUAUAAAUGCACACAGACCACUGAAGUGGACACUAACGCACCA